GUCAUUUCGCUUCUUCCCUGCUGAAAGAGGUUUACAACCCGAAGGCCGUCAUCCCUCACGCGGCGUCGCUGCAUCAGGCUUUCGCCCAUUGUGCAAUAUUCCCCACUGCUGCCUCCCGUAGGAGUCUGGGCCGUGUCUCAGUCCCAGUGUGGCCGGUCGCCCUCUCAGGCCGGCUACCCGUCGUCGCCUUGGUAGGCCAUUACCCCACCAACAAGCUGAUAGGCCGCGGGCUCAUCCUUCACCGCCGGAGCUUUUAACCCCGCCCCAUGAGGGACAGAGUGUUAUCCGGUAUUAGACCCCGUUUCCAGGGCUUGUCCCAGAGUGAAGGGCAGAUUGCCCACGUGUUACUCACCCGUUCGCCACUAAUCCACCCCGAAGGGCUUCAUCGUUCGACUUGCAUGUGUUAAGCACGCCGCCAGCGUUCGUCCUGAGCCAGGAUCAAACUNUAGGGAGGUGAU
Molecule: ribosomal RNA, 458 nt
Filed under: Streptomyces sp. 7LD7
Lineage: Bacteria; Bacillati; Actinomycetota; Actinomycetes; Kitasatosporales; Streptomycetaceae
Description: partial 16S ribosomal RNA
Source: RNAcentral